RNAcentral lists this ribosomal RNA (445 nucleotides) under Zealaranea crassa. RNAcentral's name for it is "partial 16S large subunit ribosomal RNA". It matches the Rfam family "Bacterial large subunit ribosomal RNA", at positions 1832 to 2601 of the family's 2925-position model. Lineage: Eukaryota; Metazoa; Arthropoda; Arachnida; Araneae; Araneidae. The record is from RNAcentral.
UUCUUACUGAUAUUAUUGUAAGUAACGCCUGCUCAUGAUUUUUAAAUAGCCGCGGAAAUUUAACUGUGCUAAGGUAGCAUAAUCAUUAGCCUUUUAAUUGAAGGCCCGUAUGAAUGGUGUCACAUUUCAAUAUCUUUAUUAAAUAAAAUAUUAAAAUUUAAAUUAAGAAUAAAAAUGUUCUUAUAUAUUAAAUAGACGAUAAGACCCUUUUGAACUUUACUUCUGUUUAGCUGGGGCAGCUAAAAAAUUACAAUCUUUCUUUUAUUUUAAAAUAUAAAUUUUCCAAUAAAAUUGAAUACUAACAAGUUACCAAAGGGAUAACAGCGUAAUAUUUUCUUAAAGUUCUUAUAAAAAAAAAUGAUUGCGACCUCGAUGUUGAAUUAGUGAAACUUUACAGAUGCAAUAAUUUUAAAAGUAAGUCUGUUCGACUUUUAAAUCACUACAU